GAGUGCUUGCACUCAAUUGGAAAGAGGAGUGGCGGACGGGUGAGUAACACGUGGGUAACCUACCCAUCAGAGGGGGAUAACACUUGGAAACAGGUGCUAAUACCGCAUAACAGUUUAUGCCGCAUGGCAUAAGAGUGAAAGGCGCUUUCGGGUGUCGCUGAUGGAUGGACCCGCGGUGCAUUAGCUAGUUGGUGAGGUAACGGCUCACCAAGGCCACGAUGCAUAGCCGACCUGAGAGGGUGAUCGGCCACACUGGGACUGAGACACGGCCCAGACUCCUACGGGAGGCAGCAGUAGGGAAUCUUCGGCAAUGGACGAAAGUCUGACCGAGCAACGCCGCGUGAGUGAAGAAGGUUUUCGGAUCGUAAAACUCUGUUGUUAGAGAAGAACAAGGACGUUAGUAACUGAACGUCCCCUGACGGUAUCUAACCAGAAAGCCACGGCUAACUACGUGCCAGCAGCCGCGGUAAUACGUAGGUGGCAAGCGUUGUCCGGAUUUAUUGGGCGUAAAGCGAGCGCAGGCGGUUUCUUAAGUCUGAUGUGAAAGCCCCCGGCUCAACCGGGGAGGGUCAUUGGAAACUGGGAGACUUGAGUGCAGAAGAGGAGAGUGGAAUUCCAUGUGUAGCGGUGAAAUGCGUAGAUAUAUGGAGGAACACCAGUGGCGAAGGCGGCUCUCUG
RNAcentral lists this ribosomal RNA (678 nucleotides) under uncultured Bacilli bacterium. Its description in RNAcentral is "bacterial SSU rRNA". It matches the Rfam family "Bacterial small subunit ribosomal RNA", at positions 64 to 731 of the family's 1533-position model. The record is from RNAcentral. Lineage: Bacteria; Bacillati; Bacillota; Bacilli.